GAACGCUGGCGGCGCGCUUAACACAUGCAAGUCGAGCGAUGAAACUUUAACAGAACCCUUCGGGGCGAAGAUAAAGUGGAUUAGCGGCGGACGGGUGAGUAACACGUGAGUAACCUGCCUUAGACAUUGGGAUAGCCUCGGGAAACCGGGAUUAAUACCAAAUAAAAUCAUAAUGACACAUGUCAUAACGAUCAAAACUCCGGUGGUCUAAGAUGGACUCGCGUCCCAUUAGCUAGUUGGUAGAGUAAAAGCCUACCAAGGCGACGAUGGGUAGCCGGCCUGAGAGGGUGAACGGCCACAUUGGAACUGAGAAACGGUCCAAACUCCUACGGGAGGCAGCAGUGGGGAAUAUUGCACAAUGGAGGGAACUCUGAUGCAGCGACGCCGCGUGAACGAAGAAGGCUUUCGAGUCGUAAAGUUCUUUUAUAUGGGAAGAUAAUGACGGUACCAUAUGAAAAAGCCCCGGCUAACUACGUGCCAGCAGCCGCGGUAAUACGUAGGGGGCUAGCGUUGUCCGGAAUCACUGGGCGUAAAGGGUUCGCAGGCGGAAAUGCAAGUCAGAUGUAAAAGGCAGUAGCUUAACUACUGUAAGCAUUUGAAACUGCAUAUCUUGAGAAGAGUAGAGGUAAGUGGAAUUUUUAGUGUAGCGGUGAAAUGCGUAGAUAUUAAAAAGAAUACCGGUGGCGAAGGCGACUUACUGGGCUCAUUCUGACGCUGAGGAACGAAAGCGUGG
Molecule: ribosomal RNA, 733 nt
Filed under: uncultured Eubacteriales bacterium
Lineage: Bacteria; Bacillati; Bacillota; Clostridia; Eubacteriales
Description: bacterial SSU rRNA
Rfam family: Bacterial small subunit ribosomal RNA
Source: RNAcentral